CAGGUAGGUGGUCUGUUAAGUCUUCUGUGAAAAUCCGGGGCUCAACCCCGCGAAAUGCAGGUGAAACUGGCAGACUGGAGACCGGUAGAGGCUAGCGGAAUUCCUGGUGUAGCGGUGGAAUGCGUAAAUAUCAGGAAGAACACCUGUGGCGAAGGCGGCUAGCUGGGCCGGUUCUGACACUAAACUGCGAAAGCGUGGGGAGCAAACA
Molecule: ribosomal RNA, 208 nt
Filed under: uncultured bacterium
Lineage: Bacteria
Description: partial 16S ribosomal RNA
Rfam family: Bacterial small subunit ribosomal RNA
Source: RNAcentral